GAUGAACGCUGGCGGCGCGCCUAACACAUGCAAGUCGAACGAUUAAAGCACCUUCGGGUGUGUAUAAAGUGGCGAACGGCUGAGUAACACGUGGGCAACCUGCCCCUUUCAUUGGGAUAGCCACGGGAAACCGUGGAUAAUACCGAAUACUUCGAGACUUCCGCAUGGAAGACUCGAGAAAGCUCCGGCGGAGAGGGAUGGGCCCGCGGCCUGUUAGCUUGUUGGUGGGGUAACGGCCUACCUAGGCAAUGAUGGGUAGCUGGGUUGAGAGACCGACCAGCCAGAUUGGGACUGAGACACGGCCCAGACUCCUACGGGAGGCAGCAGUGGGGAAUCUUGCACAAUGGGCGAAAGCCUGAUGCAGCGACGCCGCGUGCGGGAUGAAGGCCUUCGGGUUGUAAACCGCUUUCAGCAGGGACGAGGCGAAAGUGACGGUACCUGCAGAAGAAGCCCCGGCUAACUACGUG
Molecule: ribosomal RNA, 467 nt
Filed under: uncultured bacterium
Lineage: Bacteria
Description: partial 16S ribosomal RNA
Rfam family: Bacterial small subunit ribosomal RNA
Source: RNAcentral